GUGCCAGCCGCCGCGGUAAAACGUAGGAGGCGAGCGUUAUCCGGAUUUACUGGGUGUAAAGCGCGUGCAGGCGGUUGGUUAAGUUGGAUGUGAAAGCUCCUGGCUCAACUGGGAGAGGUCGUUCAAAACUGGCUAACUAGAGGAUGGUAGGGGAAGGUGGAAUUCCGGGUGUAGUGGUGAAAUGCGUAGAUAUCCGGAGGAACACCAGUGGCGAAGGCGGCCUUCUAGACCAUCCCUGACGCUCAGACGCGAAAGCUAGGGUAGCAAACGGGAUUAGAAACCCGUGUAGUCC
This 292-nucleotide ribosomal RNA is filed under the name uncultured bacterium. RNAcentral's name for it is "partial 16S ribosomal RNA". It matches the Rfam family "Bacterial small subunit ribosomal RNA", at positions 505 to 796 of the family's 1533-position model. The record is from RNAcentral.